This 475-nucleotide ribosomal RNA is filed under the name uncultured bacterium. RNAcentral describes it as "bacterial SSU rRNA". It matches the Rfam family "Bacterial small subunit ribosomal RNA", at positions 31 to 507 of the family's 1533-position model. The record is from RNAcentral.
GAACGCUGGCGGCAUGCCUUACACAUGCAAGUCGAACGGCAGCACGGGAGCAAUCCUGGUGCGAGUGGCGAACGGUGAGUAAUAUAUCGGAACGUGCCCGGUCGUGGGGGAUAACGUAGCGAAAGCUACGCUAAUACCGCAUACGAUCUACGGAUGAAAGCGGGGAUCGCAAGACCUCGCGCGAUUGGAGCGGCCGAUAUCAGAUUAGGUAGUUGGUGAGGUAAAGGCUCACCAAGCCGACGAUCUGUAGCUGGUCUGAGAGGACGACCAGCCACACUGGGACUGAGACACGGCCCAGACUCCUACGGGAGGCAGCAGUGGGAAUUUUGGACAAUGGGCGCAAGCCUGAUCCAGCAAUGCCGCGUGCAGGAUGAAGGCCUUCGGGUUGUAAACUGCUUUGUACGGAACGAAACGGUGAGCUCUAAUACAGUUGCUAAUGACGGUACCGUAAGAAUAAGCACCGGCUAACUACGUG